RNAcentral lists this small RNA (117 nucleotides) under Marmota monax (woodchuck). The record is from RNAcentral. Lineage: Eukaryota; Metazoa; Chordata; Mammalia; Rodentia; Sciuridae.
GCCAGGCAUGGUGAUGCACACCUGUAGUCCCAGUCACUGGGGAGGCUGAGGUAGAAGGGUCGCUUGAGCCCAUAGGUGUGAGACCAGCCUGGGCAACAUAGCAAGACCCUAUCUAAG